GCAAUUGUUAUUAAUUAUAAACAAAUGCACCACUGUGGUUGAGAAUGUGUAGUGUGGGAAGUUGUGCAUGUGUGGGGACUCUGUGUUCCGUAUGAUUCAAUAAUUCUACUUCUGUGUGUAUCUUCAAAAGAAUUUAAACUAAGCAAUCAAAUAGAUAUUUACACACCCAUGUUCAUGGCAGCAUUAUUCACAAUAACCAAGAGGUGGAAAUAAUUCAAGUGUCCCUCAACAGGUAUUGGAUAAACAAAAUAGAGUAUAUCCAUACAAUGAAAUACUAUUCAGCCUUAAAAGGAAAAGUAAUUCUGAUGCAUACUACAACCUGGCUGAACUUUGAGGAUGUUAUGAUAAGUAAAAUAAGCAAGACACAAAAAGACAAUUACUGCAGGAUGCCUCUUCCAUGAACUACCCAGAGCUGUCAAGUUCAGAGACAGAAGCACUUUUCCUGUCCAAGUCAAAACUGGUUCUCUUCCACAUCCAAAGUGUGUGGGGACGACCAAGAGACACUGGCUCAUCACCCGGCUCCUAGAGAAACACAAUGGAGGUGUGUGAUGUGACCUUCUAUUCAAUAAUAUAAGCAAAAAUCCAGCUUGAUUUAUUGUUAUUGUGGUAAAAUAUACAUAGCAUAAAAUUUAACAUUUUAACCAUUUAAAAAUACGUAGUUCAGUGACAUUAGUGUAUUCUCACUGAUGUACAGCCAUCACCACCAGCCAUCUCCAGAACUUUUUCAUCAGCCCUGUGAUGAGACUCUGUCCCCAUGAGGUAAUAAGUCCCCAUUUCUCUCAGUGCCCCCAGCCCCUGGUCCAGUUUUAUUUUUAAUUUGUGGCCUGGGUAAAUGAACAUGCAGACCUGGGAGACUUAUAAGGUACAUGAUCUUGCUCUCCCUUGCUUCUCUUUUUGAACAUAAUCCUUUAUAAUAGACCUGAAAUUGUGUGUAUUAGAUUUCCCACCCUAUAUAGUAGAGCAGGAAGCCAGGCUUAGCAAGCUAACAUCCCUCCUUUUAACUGUGUAUAGUUUUCUUCCCUGGCUUUUCCUUCUUUCCUGGGCAAAUUAUCUAUCUGCUAAGACUCUGAGAACUGAGGCACAUUUCCUGGCCUCUGUUGUUGGCUCAGGCACUUGCCUGGAAUUUCUGGGAUGCCAGCCCCCUGCACGUAUCUUGGAGGUGCUUAUACCGAUGGGUUACACCAAGGAAGCAGACGCCGUUCCUAUAGGGGUUUCAGCACUGGGAGGUGAGAUCUCUGGCUGCGAAGGGUUCUUAGCUUGAGUUCCAAGUUUGACUCUCCUAACAGCUGUUCAACUUUGAGAUGACUUAGUCCUUCUGGAUCUCAGCUUCCUCAUUUAAAGGAGCCUCAGUUUCCUCAAUGUGCAAUGAGGAUGAUGACAUAUCUGAUAUUUCCACUUGGCAUCUCCAAUUCGACGGAAUGAAAUGGCGCUCUUGAUUCUUCCUGCCAGAUUGAUUUCUUCGGCAGCCCUCUUCGGCGUGAUCCCACAUCAUCCAUCUGAUAGUUUAUGAUGGAAACCUGGGGACAGCUCUUCAUUUCCUUCCCUGCUCAUCAGGAAGCCCUAAUGAUUGCACAUCUGACUCCCAUUUUUGACUCACACUGCACUGCUCUCCAAUUUCCCAGCCACCACUAAGGACUAUGGGAGCAACCUCCCAACUUGUUUACUUGCUUCCGUUCUUGGUUCUUCUCCAACCCAUCGUUAAUCAUCAGAAUCCGGAUAAGAACACUUCUAUAGUGUUCUCUACGCUGGCCACUGUUCUAAGUGCAUUAUGUGUAUUACCUCAUUUAAUCCAUAUACUAGAAGUAGAUGAGUCCCUACUUAAAAUGAAUCUAGGCUUCCUAUUUUAAGAAUCACGUUCUACCUCCCUAUCUCGCUCUGCCAGAUUCUGAGUGUUGUGUUCUGGCUUCCAGAUGUCUUCAUCAGGUCUAUGUGUGCAGCAGGUCUUCUACAACGACUGACUGAAAAGGCCAAGGUCAAGGGCAAUGCCUACUAAGUACUAAGAGAAUUAAGAAGCCAUCUUUAUUUCCUGUAGCUCUCUUCUUGUGGUCCUGCCUUAGUACAUUUUUUUUUUUUUAAGUCUUCACUAUGGAAAAUUUUUAACAAAUGUAAAAGUAGCCAGAAUAAUAAAAUUAAUGCCUGUGGAUAUGUCCCCCAGAGCCAACAGCCAUCACAUCAUGGCCAAGUUUAUUCCAUCUAUGUGCCCAUCCAUCCCCCAUCCUAAAUUAUUUCAAGGCAAAGCCCAGACAUUAUAUCAUUUCUUCUGUAAAUAUUUUAGUAUGCAUUCCUAAAAGAUAAGAUCUUUUUUACUAUGCCAUACCCAAAAUACCAUUAUCAUACCUAAAAUUAUUUAAAAAGCCACUCCUUAAUGUUGUCAGUUGUUAUAUAUAUCCUAUUAUCAAUUAUUAUAUGCCAGUUAUUAUCUCAUCCUUAGAAUACAUACUUUUAUAGUUUAUAUCUGAAUUUAUUCCAAUAAAGUCCACACAUUUUCA
This is a long non-coding RNA of Leopardus geoffroyi (Geoffroy's cat), 2489 nucleotides long. RefSeq lists it as uncharacterized. NCBI's taxonomy places the organism in Eukaryota, Metazoa, Chordata, Mammalia, Carnivora, Felidae. The record is from RefSeq and is a predicted model, not a curated record. The transcript is spliced from 2 exons.